Molecule: ribosomal RNA, 492 nt
Filed under: uncultured bacterium
Lineage: Bacteria
Description: partial 16S ribosomal RNA
Rfam family: Bacterial small subunit ribosomal RNA
Source: RNAcentral
AGUGAACGCUGGCGGUAGGCCUAACACAUGCAAGUCGAACGACAGCACAGUAAGCUCUUGCUCUUACCGGUGGCGAGUGGCGGACGGGUGAGGAGUACAUCAGAAUCUACUUUUUCUUGGGGGAUAACGUAGGACCACUUACGCUACUACCGCAUACGACCUACGGCUUGAAUCAGGGGAUCUUCGGACCUUGCGCGAUUGAAUGAGCCGAUGUCGGAUUAGCUAGUUGGCGGGGUAAAGGCCCACCAAGGCGACGAUCCGUAGCUGGUCUGAGAGGAUGAUCAGCCACACUGGAACUGAGACACGGUCCAGACUCCUACGGGAGGCAGCAGUGGGGAAUAUUGGACAAUGGGCGAAAGCCUGAUCCAGCCAUACCGCGUGGGUGAAGAAGGCCUUCGGGUUGUAAAGCCCUUUUGUUGGGAAAGAAAAGCAGCAGGUUAAUACCUCGCUGUUCUGACGGUACCCAAAGAAUAAGCACCGGCUAACUUCGUG